GGUCCUUCCAGUUGUGGCAUGUGGGAUGCUGCCUCAGCAUGGCCUGAUGAGCAGUGCCAUGUCCACGCCCAGGAUCCAAACCGGCAAAACCCUGGGCUGCCAAAGCGGAGCGCUUGAACUUCACCACUCGGCCAUGGGACUGGCCCUCCUCCUUUGGUGCUUUUAACAUCCAAAAAAAUGGGUCUGUUAUGUGUCCAGAGCACAUUAGUGACUUACCGUCUUUUACCAUUCACCAUGUGAAGAGUAAUUUCCUACUGUUCCACUUUCCAAACACUUUGGUCCAGCAAACUAGAAACUGUAUGGGAUGCAUUGUUCACAGAGGAAAACAUGCCAUCCCCGCCUCUGAGCUCUGUUGGUACCAUUCCACCUCCCCUCUCCUCUCCCUCCCAGUCCUCCCCAUCCCACCCAUCCUGGAAGGUAGUCUCCUUCCAAUCCAGUUUCCUAUGUCCUGCUUUCUUUCCAAAUUCACUUGAACAUUGUACUGGUUCUCUGGUAGAUACGAAAAGGAACUGAGUUUGCGAAAGGAUACGAAAGAUACGAAAAGGAACUACACAGAGUUUGCAAUCAAGAAUUGAUGAUUGAAUAAGUACUCAGUGUUAGUUUACUGAUCAAAUAAUCGAAUGAAUAUAUACAUGAAAAAACACAAAGAAUUGUAAUUCAAGAAAGGUAAGUACCCAAAGAAAUUCACAGAUAAUAUGCUAAGAGAACUCAAAGGAUCCUGGAGCAAAAGAUAUCUUCUAGUCCAGCAAGGGGAUCAGGAGAAGGAAGUGGCAUGUGACCUGGGUCCUUAGAAUUCAGUAGGGUUUAGAGACAGAAAGAGAGAACAGUCCUCCAAGCAAAACAAGGACAGAUUGGGAAAGUAUGAGAUAAAUAAAAGGGAAGUAGUAGCUAGAGAGCAGGUGCAUGAGUGGUUAGGAAGAGAGUGGAGGAGGUACGCUGAAGCCAGAUCAGGGAAGAUCUAGAGUGGGUACUAACAUGCUGUGUGAUGCCACAUAAGCCACUGCUGUCCGCCAGGACUCACUGGAAUUGAAGAUAUAACAGAGGGCACCCUCUGAUCCUGUCGCCCUGUGUGGUGAGCACUGGGGGACCUGUCAGCAAUUACGGGCAUGAUGGGGAUGGGACAUGGGACUCAGCAGCAGUAUGAUGAAGCAGAGUAGAAGGAGGCCAGUUUGGGAGACGUUUUCAUAAUCCACAAGCCACCAUUUGUAAUUAAGUGGUUUAUGAUCAUAAGUAAUUAAAAACUUACAAAGCAUACAAAGAAGAAAACUGCAGUUGGAGUGGUUGGUCAUUAGAAUAAAAGGAUAACAGUUAGUUUCCAUAAAAGCUUACCUUAUUGUGAAAUGAAGAACCACUUUAAACUUCCUGGCCUUUAGAGUGGCCCUUUGAUUGCUCAGGCUGCCCUUGUAAUAUUCCAUUUGCUGCUUUGGCCUCUAAAUAAAGUUGGGGCCUUCAUGAAGUGAACACAGAGGGGGCGGGCCCAGGAAGUCAGAGCUGCGGCUCGGGCACACAGGCUGGUCAAGGCCCACAUCUUUGGAUGGUCAGUGAGCAGUGGGGAUGAGGGCACUUGCAGUAGAGUCACGAAAACCUCAUUCCAGGCCUUGCUCUGUCCCUCUUUCUAGCUGUGUGGCCUCAGGCAAAUUAACUCGCCUCUCUGAGCUUCAGUUUCUCUCCUAGGGUUUUUGUGACAGCAUUAGGUGUAUUGAACAGGUGGUUCAAAAAGGCUGCUUCCUUCUCACCUGUCAGAAGCUGACAGGAUUCCAGGCACUGUUUCUUUCAUUUAUUCAUUUAUUCAUUCAACAAAGAUAUUUAUGUGCUGGUAACAUGGUAGUAAACAGCAGAGAAAUAAUCCCUGUGGGCCCUUGUUAGGCUUGUGGUCUAAUGGUGGGGACAGAUACGACACAAAUAAUCACACAAAUAAAUAAGUAAUUACAAAUGUGGUAAGUGCCACAAAGGAAAAUUAAUGCAGAUGGGGAUGAAGGAAAGUGAUGAGAAAGUAAUAAUUCUGAUGAAAUCUAAAAGGACAAACAAGAGCUGGGAAAAACUGGGGGCUGAAGAGAAGAGGGGGGCCCAGGCCAAGGUCAAGGAGAAAAGCCUUCCCCCCCGCCCUCCACAAAUAAGGGCAUUUCAUAACAGAAGGCUCAUAGUUAAGCCACCUGCACUGUGCUUUGUUAAGAAUGACACCAGCCCGGGAAAGUUAACAGGUCCACAAUUGAUGGAGAGGAAACACUUGUUUUUCCAGAGCACUGCAAUUUAGCCUAAUCAGGUUUCAAGAGUUAUUCUCCCUGGCCACAACACUUCAUAUUUGCAGGGUUCUUUGUGGCCAUUUUUGUAAGUAUUUGUAAGUAGGAAUUCUUGAAAGCAGAUCUCAAUGGGGGAAACAGAAGUUGGACACACAGACCUGGGUUCAGGCUUCAGCACCACCAUUUAUGGGCUAUGUGACCCUCGGCAAGUCACUUAACCCUGCUAACUCCACUUCCUCAUCUGCAAAAUCUACUCCACACAGGUGAUUCCAGUGUUAAAACAAGAAAGACAUGUGAGGGGGCUGUGUAAACAUGACUCGUGGCACACAUCUAGUCUUUUCUCUUAUAUCCUGCUGUGUCCCCAGCUUGCAUUCGGGCAUAGAAGAGGAGAGAAAGGGAGAUGUCGAGGAUGAUCUCAAGGUUUCGCUAGGCUUCAAUAAUGAAGUAACAAAGAUCGACUAUUGCAUCUAAAUGCUGUAAAUUUAUUUUAAGGUAGAUAAAAAAGGAUGAGUCAAAAAAAAAAAAAAGCAAGUGGUAGGAUGGUCCUUUGUGAUUCUUUUUCACUUUUCCAGAAAAAAAGAGGAAGGAAAUAUAUUGUGACAAACACCAGAAGCUGAAUGCCAGUGACCAGUCUUCACAUCUUUCCAUUUCUUGUUGAGAUUCUCACUGACAGUGUUUAAACAGGGCUGGGCUGUUUACACACAAUCGUUGUUCGCAGUGGCCCAGCAGAACCUGUAAGGGACAUAUAUCACACAUCACCCCAAUGCAGAGGAGGUGUGAGCCACAAGUCUGAAGGACAAGGGCAAACCCUGCUUUCAUCUGCUCCACCGCAACCCUCAAAGAAGUGCUGAGACUUCACAGCCAGAGUGGAGAGCUGAGAGCUAGGAGGAGCUCAGCAGAGUGGAGAUGCUCUGGAAGCUGGACACCGGCAUCGUAACUUUCUGUUGUCGGAAGUGGUGCGAAUUCCCAGAGCAUUGGAGGUGUCAGCCCUCAAAAAUACUCUACACUCUCAUUCCAAGACAACAUGAAAUUGACUUAGGGAUGAGUACAGCAACGCUCCCUCCCAAUGCCUCAAAGAAUAAGAGCCUGCUCUAAAGGCUUACUCUCUGGUAGCAUCCUUUAGUGCAAUUCACAGUGGUCCUUAGUGGAACUCUUUAUUCAUCAAAAAAAAAAAACAGGUUGAAUGCCUACCAUGCAUCACAGUCUGGGAAACUCGGAGAUAGGGAGGAAAGGUCAUUUGACUUCAUGAUUUGGGGAGGAAAAUGAUAUGUAUACGCAAGACCUGGCAAGGAGUAAGUGCUCAGCUUAUUUAAUGCCUGAAAGAAGGGUUGAAUGAAUGAAUGAACAUAAGGUCAUAAAUGCAAGCAAGCCCCACGGUACAGAAAAGAGCCCAGAAUUUGGAGUGUAAAGGUAAAGUUGACAUCCCAGCUAGCCCACUUUCCAGCUGGGUAUUAGGCUGGAUACUUCUGCUUGUUCCAAAUUCAUUGUCCACCCUGCUUUGUGCCCCAAGGGCUGACCUCCAUGGACUGCCUCCCCUGGGCUCCCUUGCUGCCUGUUUUCUGGCUGGGCUCCCUUGCCAUCUGUCUUCUGGCUGGGCUCAGCCAAAGGGAGUCCCUGGAAAGAGAUUGGGAGAGAGCAGUGUUUCUUCCCCUCUGCCCUGGCUUGUCUUCUAGCAGCAGCUGUGCACCCAACAUCUACAGCUCCCCACUUACUUCAUUCCAUUCUCCCUGGGCUGCAGGAACAUGGCGUCCUCCCCUUGCCCUUGUGGUCUUAGCUUCUCCUAUUGCUGAUGUCUGGGUGCCUCAAUAUGCUUUGUUUUCCUUUAAUCCUGUCUACACCUCUGGAAAGAGUUCCUUCAUGGAAACCACCUGAAUCAAUUCUGUUUUCUGUUGAGACCCAACUCAUUCAGUAAAUUAGAGCAAGUUACGAAACUUCUCAGUGUCAUGUUCUUCCAUAUGAAAUGGAAAUAAUAACAAUACUUAGUAUCUAGCACCAUGCUUAAACAUGGGCCCUCAAUAAACAUUGGCUGCUUGAAUAAAUGAAUGAAUGGGUGGAUAGAUGGGUGAAUGGAUGGGGAGAUGGAUGGAUGGAAGGAUGAAUGGAUGGAUAAAUAGAUGAGUUGAUGGGUGGAUGGAUAGGUGGGUGGGUGGGUGAAUACCUAUGUGGAUUAAUGACAAGAUGUUAAUGUAUUAAGUAUGAGAAUAUUGGUUACUAUAAGUCUCAUUAAAUGGCAAGUGAAUGUAACAGAUAGUAUUAACUAUCUUGAUAUCAUAAAAUGGGCAUGGGUCAAGAAUCAGGAAAACUGAGUCUCAAUUUUUCCAUUUGUUAACUGUGUGAUUGCAGGUAAGUUAUUUUCCCAUUCUGUGUCUCUCUUUCCUCUCCUAAAAAACAAAAGAGUUGGAGUUAAUAAACUCUAAGGGGCCAUCCAGCUUGGACACCCUAUCAAGUCCUAAGCAUUCCAGGGGAACAUAGAACAAUCUGAAUUGGAGAAGUUAGGGGAGUGCUCAGGGCAGAGGCAGGGACAUAAACAAUAUACUAAGAACUAGAACAGCAGAAGGACAUUCCAAUGAGCAAGACUGGAGGGGAUUAAGGAUGGGGAGAGGUCAGUAAAUUCUGGUGACCAAGAAUAAACAUCUGGUUGGAACAGAAGUUGCCCACGGGGAUUUAAGGGGCCUUGAACAUAAGGCUGAGGAACUAACUCUGUAAAAGGGAAGGAAUUUGACUUCCUCAAGGCCCCGGAAACCAGUGGAGAACUAGAAUUCUAGUUUCCUCUGCUCAACCCUCUGAAUUGCCAUCAGGUUCCCUGUCUUCAUCUCCUGAUGGCAGCUGCCUUCUCCCUUUUGUGAUUCCUUUCUUUGAAGGUCACUUGUCAAAUUAGGGAUCAGGGAAAAUUUAUUGGGUGAGGAAACCAUUUGGUAAGGGAUAUUUUUGGCACUGUUCAAAUCUUGGCAAAGGACUCGUUCCUGUCAUUCUCCUACUAGCAUUUUAAAAUCUGUUGGUUUGCAGGAAAGUCAAAGGCAAGAUAAUCAAAAGAAAGUGAUUUUUUUAGUUAUUAAAAAAAUAUGAAUCCAGAAAAAAUUUUUAAUGGGCCUUGAACAAGAAUACUGCUCUGUAGGAUCUAGGCAUUAAGUCAAAAGCACUUGAAUAAAAUUAUAAAAAUUAAGAAUAAGAAUAAUAAUGCAAAACUGCUGUCAGAUACCUGGAGUUUUUUGACAAAUGUGGCCAGCUGUAUGAUUUAGUUCCUUCCCUUCUCUGGCCUCAGUUUCCCCAUAUGUCAAAGAAGUUAGACCCAAUGGUGGGCUCUAGAAGUUUCUCCUGCCCUGGCAGUGCCUACAGCUCCCACACUGCAGAUCUCCUUUCCCUCUCUUGAGCACAGCAUUCCUGGGAGGGCACAAGAGAACUUGCACCACUUUAGUUUCGGCUUGCCUGACCUCUGUCCCCUGUGUGGCCUCUCUGAGUGCAGGAGCUGGAGAACGAAUGCAGCUGCUCAGCACUGGCUCUCUGUGUGGCUUUGGCCAGAGAUGAAAAGGAGUCAGCGCCAGCCUGCAGUCAAGCAGGGUUUCACUGAAGGAGUCAUCUAGACAUGUGCCAGCCUCCUGGCCACUGCUGGGGGCAGGACUCACCACCUCCAGGGGAUGCUCACUAGGGUGGCCCCUGACCACUCGUCCACACCCCACAGGGCCUGCACGGUGGCCAUUCCAAAAUGCUCCUUUGUUUUUGGUGUUAUUCUCUAGCCCAAAAACGUUGGUGACACCCCCUUGUUGAGCUACAGCAGUGUGUCCCCAAGAGACACCUGUCCUGUGAGAUGCUCCUCAGAAACCCAGGCUGUAUCACUUGAGUUUGGAGCAUGCAGCCUUCUCUAUCCCACUCCCCCUUGCAGAGUUCCAGUGCUCCAAGAAGUCCUGGAGGAAAGAGGCGCACUCAGGCUCAUCGAACCCAGUAUAUUUCAAAAAUAACGUUUGACCAAAGGACUUUUCCUUAAUAACUCUGAGCAACGUCCCUCAGAACCGCACCUCCAAGCAAUAUGCUUUGGGAAACACUGCUCUGUGGAUAAAAACGCAAACUUCCUAGUGUUCAGCUAAAGCUCCCCUCAUUCUGGUCCCUGACAACUCUCAGCCUGACUUCCCACUACUCCUCUGUAUGCCCCGAAGUCCAGAGCCAUUGAAUUAUUGCUGAUAUUAAUGAUUUGUGUGUGUGAAUGUUGCAAAAAUAUAAACUUGGAAAAAGAAGAAAAGCAGGGUCUUAAGCAAGAAUAUUACCUGAAGGAUCCUAGAUUCCAGUUCAAAAGCACUUGAAAAGUUAAAUUAUACUAAUCAUCCUUUCAUUUUUUUGUCAAUAAACUAUGCAUUUUCCUCCCUCCAGGCCUUUGUUCAUGCUGUCCCCGCAGUCUGGAAAAUCUUCCCCCUUUAUUUAUCUAUGAAAAGCCUAUGAAUGCAUCUUUCAAAGCUUUAUUCAAAUGCCACCUCUUCUGUGGACUCUCCCCAAAUUCCAUACUAAGAAUUUAUUACUCAUUGCUCUGUAUUCGAACAACACUUUUCACGAAUUUCUGUUAAAGUACUUUUCUUGAUAAUUAUGUCUAAUAGCUGUCAUUUAUUGGCAUCCCUCUGUGUCAGCAUUGUGUGC
RNAcentral lists this long non-coding RNA (6863 nucleotides) under Equus caballus (horse). RNAcentral's name for it is "lncRNA (ENSECAG00000055072.1)". Lineage: Eukaryota; Metazoa; Chordata; Mammalia; Perissodactyla; Equidae. The record is from RNAcentral.